This 563-nucleotide ribosomal RNA is filed under the name uncultured bacterium. Its description in RNAcentral is "bacterial SSU rRNA". It matches the Rfam family "Bacterial small subunit ribosomal RNA", at positions 338 to 916 of the family's 1533-position model. The record is from RNAcentral.
CCUACGGGAGGCAGCAGUGGGGAAUCUUGCGCAAUGGGCGAAAGCCUGACGCAGCAACGCCGCGUGCGGGAAGAAGGCUUUCGGGCUGUAAACCGCUUUCAGCAGGAACGAAAAUGACGGUACCUGCAGAAGAAGGAGCGGCCAACUAUGUGCCAGCAGCCGCGGUGAUACAUAGGCUUCAAGCGUUGUCCGGAUUUAUUGGGCGUAAAGAGUUCGUAGGCGGUCGAGUAAGUCGGGUGUGAAAAUUCUGGGCUCAACCCAGAGACGCCACCCGAUACUGCUUGACUUGAGUUCGAUAGGGGAGUGGGGAAUUCCUAGUGUAGCGAUGAAAUGCGCAGAUAUUAGGAGGAACACCGGUGGCGAAGGCGCCACUCUGGAUCGAUACUGACGCUGAGGAACGAAAGCAUGGGUAGCAAACAGGAUUAGAUACCCUGGUAGUCCAUGCCGUAAACGGUGGGCACUAGGUGUGGGUUUCUAUUAACGAAAUCCGCGCCGUCGCUAACGCAUUAAGCGCCCCGCCUGGGGAGUACGGUCGCAAGACUAAAACUCAAAUGAAUUGACGG